CCUACGGGGGGCAGCAGUGGGGAAUAUUGCACAAUGGGGGAAACCCUGAUGCAGCGACGCCGCGUGAGCGAUGAAGUAUUUCGGUAUGUAAAGCUCUAUCAGCAGGGAAGAAAAUGACGGUACCUGACUAAGAAGCCCCGGCUAACUACGUGCCAGCAGCCGCGGUAAUACGUAGGGGGCAAGCGUUAUCCGGAUUGACUGGGUGUAAAGGGGGCGUAGACGGGGGUGCAAGCCAGUUGUGAAAGCCCGGGGCUCAACCCCGGGACUGCAUUUGAAACUGUGCGGCUAGAGUGUCGUAGAGGCAGGCGGAAUUCGUAGUGUAGCGGUGAAAUGCGUAGAUAGUAGGAGGAACACCAGUGGCGAAGGCAGCCUGCUGGACGAUGACUGACGUUGAGGCUCGAAAGCGUGGGGAGCAAACAGGAUUAGAUACCCCAGUAGUC
This 440-nucleotide ribosomal RNA is filed under the name uncultured bacterium. RNAcentral's name for it is "partial 16S ribosomal RNA". It matches the Rfam family "Bacterial small subunit ribosomal RNA", at positions 338 to 795 of the family's 1533-position model. The record is from RNAcentral.